AGCGAACGCUGGCGGCAGGCUUAACACAUACAAGUCGAGCGGGCAUAGCAAUAUGUCAGCGGCAGACGGGUGAGUAACGCGUGGGAACGUACCUUUUGGUUCGGAACAACACAGGGAAACUUGUGCUAAUACCGGAUAAGCCCUUACGGGGAAAGAUUUAUCGCCGAAAGAUCGGCCCGCGUCUGAUUAGCUAGUUGGUGAGGUAAUGGCUCACCAAGGCGACGAUCAGUAGCUGGUCUGAGAGGAUGAUCAGCCACAUUGGGACUGAGACACGGCCCAAACUCCUACGGGAGGCAGCAGUGGGGAAUAUUGGACAAUGGGCGCAAGCCUGAUCCAGCCAUGCCGCGUGAGUGAUGAAGGCCCUAGGGUUGUAAAGCUCUUUUGUGCGGGAAGAUAAUGACGGUACCGCAAGAAUAAGCCCCGGCUAACUUCGUGCCAGCAGCCGCGGUAAU
Molecule: ribosomal RNA, 452 nt
Filed under: uncultured bacterium
Lineage: Bacteria
Description: bacterial SSU rRNA
Rfam family: Bacterial small subunit ribosomal RNA
Source: RNAcentral